Molecule: RNA transcript, 2604 nt
Organism: Schistocerca serialis cubense
Lineage: Eukaryota; Metazoa; Arthropoda; Insecta; Orthoptera; Acrididae
Exons: 3
Source: RefSeq, a predicted model, not a curated record
GUUUGAAAUAAUAGUUACAAUAGCUGCUAACAGAUGGCGCUGUAAUCGCCAUACGUAAUUCCUAGUAUAAAUAGUGAUCCGAAGCCCAGAGAGAUCAGUUCCACUAUUGAAACGUGAAAGGAGGUUAACGUACCGAAGGAAGAGAUUAAAACCAUGUACUCCAUUGAACAACGCGUUUUUCUGGUGCUAGAGUACCACAGGUUAGAAGAGAGUCCUACGGCAACAAGGCGAAGUUUUCAAGCAUGAUUUAAUGUUCCAAAAGGACCCGAUGCGAAAACCAUUCGUACGCUCUUCGCAAAAUUUCAACGAAUGGGCAGCGUAACUGAUGAUCUAGUGGAGCAUGUUGGCCGCAAGCAAACCGCAGUUACGCCUGAAAAUAUUUACGCCUGAAAAUAUCGGCACAGUUUCUGGAAUUAUUCAGCGAAAUCCAAUGUCAUCCGUCCGUAGAAUUGCAUCUGAGACUGGUUUGAAGCAUUCCAGCACGCAGAAAAUACUGAGAAAGAGCCUACACGUUUCCAUUCAAAAUUCAAACGCACCAGGCCAUACCCGUACGAGCUGUGCAACAAAGGGUUGCCUUUGCUAAUCAGAUGCUCACAAUGAUUGAUAGUGAGGGAUUUGAUGUUGGCUGCAUCUGGUUUACAGAUGAAGCACACUUCCAGCUGAAUGGAUAUGUGAAUAAGCAGAACUGGCGAUUUUGGGGUUCCGAAAAGCCAUAUUGGGGCUGAAGCGAAACCCCUGUAUUCUCCUAAAGUUAUUGUGUGGGGUGCAGUAUGCAGCAGAGGCAUUAUUGGCCCCGUUUUCAUUCGAGAAACGGUCACUGGUGCACGUUACGUUGCAAUUUUGGAACAAUUUGUCGCCACACAGCAAGCGUUAGAGGAUCGACCAGGUACUGAAUGGUUUAUGCAAGAUGGAGCCCGACCACAUCGGACCGAACAAGUGUUUCGCUUUCUUGAGGAAUACUUCGGCAAUCGAGUCAUUGCUUUGGAAUAUCCCAAAUUUACUGGUACAGGCGUGGAUUGGCCUCCAUAUUCGCCGGAUUUGACUCCCUGUGACUUUUUUGUGAGGCACAGUGAAAGACACGGUCUACCCGAAGCAUCCCGCCAUGCUGGACGAGCUUGAAUCGGGGGAUCUCUGUGGCAUGUGAAUCCAUUUCGGUUGAGACACUACGAAAUGUGAUGGCGAAUUUCAUUCUUCAUUUGCGCCACCUCUGUAGUGCCAAUGGUGAACAUUUUGAAAACAUUGUGAUGUGAUUGUUUGCAAAGAUUGUUUUCAUAUGAUUAUUUCAGUUAUGUAUGCUGAUAUGAGCUGUACAGCGUACAGCGCCAUCUGUUAGCAGCUUUUGUAACUAUUAUUUCAAACUGCUGUAUAAACUUCUUACAGCUUUCACAAUAAACAUACCGUUUACUGCAUUCCUCUAUCGAUCUUUGUUUUCGAGAUAUUUAAUUUUGAAAUCAGGGAGUCCUUUUCUGGACACCCUGUAGGUGAUCAUAUCACUGGGCCACAACUACUAACAGGACCGGUCUACCUCACAUAUAGUAGAGAUGUGUUGUCUACCCUGUUGGAUGUAGUGCCACUAAAAUGUUUGGAUGGACACGUGGCUGCAGUACGCCGGAGCUCCGACACACUUCGAUGCCGAUGGGCAGAAUCACCCGAUCAUCGCGUACACUAAUUGACGGAUUGGUAGGGGUGGACUGUUCCGUGGCCAGCAUGGUCGGCAGAUCUGAAACCUCUAGACUAGAUUUUGUUAGGUAAUGUGAAGAGUUCGGUGUACAGUGCACAUGUAACGUCAGCGGAGGACCUUAUUGCUGGAGUCUGCAGAGCGACUUGAGAUACUUGAAAGACAAACGUCCAUAUUGGCUCACGUGUGUGAAUCUCAGCCCGCUGAUGUAGACUCUGCAUUGACAUAGGAGAUACGCAGUGUAAAUCCCGUUUCUAAUGUGGAGAGCAUGACGUGCUACUCGUGUUGGACUGAUUGACAUAAUGUGGAACACAUACCCAUCUCAGUUUUAGACACUUUCCAGCACCCAAGCCGUGUGUUACUGGAUAUGGGUUCCUUCUUGAAAACCGAUCAUUGUGCCUUCCUGCACAACAUACUAAGUGUUACCUAUGUUUUUGGGACACCCUGUAAAUGUUAAGAAAAUACACAGUUCGAUCAUUCGAUCGUUGUGGCUAUUGGCAUCGCGGAGUCCAGAGCAAUUAAAUUGUCCAGUGUGCUGUUCAGUGCGUGUCUCGUGGACAGCACGUCGUUUGAGAAAAUGCUUAAUUUUGUCAUCAUGGCAGUUGGCAUAAUGGAGUCCAAAGCAGUUAAAUUGUCCAGGAUGCUGUUUUGUGCGGUUAGUGGUACAGCCAGUGUGGAGAUGGGAAAUGGUGUGGACACACUGGCCAUUGCAGGAAUACGAACUGUCCGCGGUGACUUCUUACGCAGCCUCAAAUGUGUCGGAGAGUGGCAAGUGACUAGGAACCCAGCCGCUUGGUGCCUGAGGCAGACUGACUUCACUGUGUCCAAAGUGCUGUAGUGGGAAGCAUCAGCUCUUUGUGUUAAGGGUGCAUCUGAAUUUAUGUAUCCAUAUUUGUCCUUGAAAUAAAGUCAUACGCAACUGCUCA